CUGGUGCCAGCAGCCGCGGUAAUUCCAGCUCCAAUAGCGUAUAUUAAAGUUGUUGCAGUUAAAAAGCUCGUAGUUGGAUUUCGGGGCGGCCCGGUCGGUCCGCCGCAAGGCGUGUCACUGACCGAGCUGUUCUUCUUCGCAGAGACUGCGUGUGCUCUUAACUGAGUGUGCGCAGGACUUGCGACGUUUACUUUGAAAAAAUUAGAGUGUUCAAAGCAGGCCAGCGCUUGAAUACAUAAGCAUGGAAUAAUGGAAUAGGACUUUGGUUCUAUUUUGUUGGUUUCUGGAACCGAAGUAAUGAUUAAAAGGGACAGUUGGGGGCAUUCGUAUUUCGUUGUCAGAGGUGAAAUUCUUGGAUUUACGAAAGACGAACUACUGCGAAAGCAUUUGCCAAGAAUGUUUUCUUUAAUCAAGAACGAAAGUUAGAGGAUCGAAGAC
This 438-nucleotide ribosomal RNA is filed under the name Aeolidia papillosa. Its description in RNAcentral is "SSU rRNA". It matches the Rfam family "Eukaryotic small subunit ribosomal RNA", at positions 561 to 1005 of the family's 1831-position model. The record is from RNAcentral. Lineage: Eukaryota; Metazoa; Mollusca; Gastropoda; Nudibranchia; Aeolidiidae.